GAUGAAGAACGUAGCGAAAUGCGAUACGUAAUGUGAAUUGCAGAAUUACGUGAAUCAUCGAAUCUUUGAACGCACAUUGCGCCCCCUGGCAUUCCGGGGGGCAUGCCUGUCCGAGCGUCAUUUCUGCCCUCCAGCCCGGCUGGGUGUUGGGCGCUGUCCCCCCGGGGACACGCCCCAAAGGCAGUGGCGGCGCCGCGUCGGGUCCUCGAGCGUAUGGGGCUUUGUCACCCGCUCGGGACGGACUCGUCGGCGCUGGUCUUCCUCCAGGCGACCCUUCGGGGCUCGUCUUCCUUCGGUUGACCUCGGAUCAGGUAGGGUUACCCGCUGAACUUAAGCAUAUCAAUAAGCGGAGGA
This 354-nucleotide unclassified non-coding RNA is filed under the name soil metagenome. RNAcentral's name for it is "partial contains 5.8S ribosomal RNA, internal transcribed spacer 2, and large subunit ribosomal RNA". The stretch from base 1 to 120 matches the Rfam family "5.8S ribosomal RNA", at positions 35 to 154 of the family's 154-position model. The record is from RNAcentral.